CGUGUAGGCGGUUUGGUAAGUCUGAUGUGAAAGCCCCGGGCUCAACCUGGGAAGUGCAUUGGAAACUGUCAGACUUGAAUACGGGAGAGGGUAGUGGAAUUCCUAGUGUAGGAGUGAAAUCCGUAGAUAUUAGGAGGAACACCGGUGGCGAAGGCGGCUACCUGGACCGAUAUUGACGCUGAGACGCGAAAGCGUGGGGAGCAAACAG
This 208-nucleotide ribosomal RNA is filed under the name uncultured delta proteobacterium. Its description in RNAcentral is "partial 16S ribosomal RNA". It matches the Rfam family "Bacterial small subunit ribosomal RNA", at positions 568 to 775 of the family's 1533-position model. Lineage: Bacteria; Deltaproteobacteria. The record is from RNAcentral.